ACUCACUGCUGUAUCGUCUGGACUGUGGGACACUGGGAUGCUCUGCAGUGUUUAACAAUGAAGGACCGGAGACAUGUGUACCUGUACCUGGAGAGAUUUGAUGAGAUGUGAUGCUAAGUGGGACGUUUAUCUUUGGACAAUGGCUGCUCGACAUUCGGGAUGGAAACGUAGGGGAGCGUCUGAAUAUAUGGGGAUUGUGGAGAAAUAUUUUUCUGAACAGUUUUAAUAGGAUCAAUAGCUUCUUGAUUGGACAGCUGCAAAUUCAACAAUCUGGCGAUCUUCAAAGACACACCAAGAAAAGAAAAGGCUGUUCAAUGACUUCUAGACCAAGAGCAAGGUGUUUCAUUCUUUCAUCACCUCCAUGCGUGUGUCUGGAUGUUUAUACAAUAACAGCAUGCUGGGGAUACGGCGCUGGAGCACUGGGCAUGACGACAUGUCUCCAGGCUUGAAGUUCUCUGCUGCCGUUUACUAAACAGUCUUGAUAGGACAUGACUGUUUUAGUAAAUACAGAAGGCGCGUGUGUGUUUGUUUAUGUGUGUGUUUUGGGUUGAUUUGGUACCAGAACAGUUAGCUCUGCGUUCAGGGAGCAGUUAUCCAAAGAGUGUUGGAUUGCUCUCCGAUCACUUUUAGUGGAAUCAACCGGAACAGAUUUACAAACGUCUUUGUCCGUCACACAGCGAGGUGUUCUUACAGAGAUAUAAUCAGUUAAAAACACAGAUAUCCCUCAUGCACAACGAGCUCUGAUAUAGUCGUUCCCUGUCUGAGUUUAUAUUAUAAACAUCAUACCCUUUCACGCCCUGCAACAACGCGUACGCACACGCACACAUAAACGAACAUGUACGUGUGUGAGAGAGUGUGUGUGUGUGUGUGUGUGUGUGAGUGUGUGAGCACAUUCCGUUAGUCCGACAGGUGUGUGGAAGACUGCCACGAGCCAGGCAGCAGGUGAAGAUGAGGAUUUAUAGAUUUUAAUUGUAUCACCCUGUUGAGCAAUAAUUCCACUGCCCGAGGCGAGGAAGGUCUAUAGCUACAGUAACAUGUGAUUGAUGGAUGCUGUGCUGGCCUCCCCUCAGUCAUAUAGACACUGGUGUGCUCCACGCUAAAUGAGUAUUAGCUUUCACUAGAAUGCUUUUUGGGGAAACUGGUAACAGGUAAGAUCGUCUAGACGAGAGCGUGUAGAAGAAAUACCAGGUUGAAGAAAAGAUACAUUACCUUGAUUUUCUAUCAAGUUUAACAAUGUGUGAAAUCGGUGGACAAGGUAACCAUCCACAUGAAGGAUAGAUCUGCUGCAGAGAAACCGACACACCGACUAAGGGAAGUUCCCGAAACAGCGAAGUGUUCGUUGUGUUGUGAGAUACAAGAAAAGCAAACUGACUUAGGUUUCAAGGAGUCGGUAAAGUCAAUCCCUCAGGUUUUUUUCCACGUCUUAUCUCCAUCUGGAUUACAGCGUUCUCCCCCCCUCCUAAAACCAUGUCUUCCCCUUUCGUCGCGGGAUAGCAGUUACAAAUUUGCAUCCAUCUGAAACUGUCUGAAUAAGAGAGCAGAAGGUGAUAUCUGCUGUUAAUGAAGACAAAAGCCUGUGAUGUUUUCAUUGGCAGAUAAACUCCAGGAUCGACAGAGGCCAGAGGCCACCCCUGCUUUAAAUGUCAUAUUGUUCACCUGCUUAAGAGUCUCAAUAUAUAUAUAAAAAAAAAGACUGUUAAAUUGCUGUGUUCACAGUUCAUAGUACCAAGUACCAAGUACUCUCUCUUUUGUCUCCCUCUUCAAAGUAAUCUUCCUUUUUUCUUCUUCCCCUGAGCCGCUCUGCAAGUUUCAUAUCUGUAGCUAAAGAUAUCAUAUUUGCUUAUGAGUUUGGCACAGACAUAAUUACCUGUAUUAGCUCUGAGAUUUGUGGCACAGUUUGAGACAGGACACUAUAAUCAGAUAUGUCUGCAAGUCUGGCAUGGCUAAUAAAACAGGACUUAUGAUCCAUUCAACCUCAUCACUUACUUUUAAAUCAGUUAUGCAAAUUUAGACAGGUUGGCCCCCUAAUCUCCAACUAAUGCACUUCAUAUUCUCUACCAGGAUGUCAGAUUCCACUUGGUCGGGCUCUGAAGUUUGCUUACUUACUUACUUUCUGUUUUCUUUCUUUCCCCCUUUCUUUUUUUUUCUUUCUUUCGUCCCCUCUCUCUGUGUUUAGUGUAAAUGGCUGUCAUGCUGCCCUUGUUUCAGGGUAAAUAAAGGCCUAAGGCUGACACCAAUCCAAGCAAUCGUAUUUAUUUCAAUAACAUGCCCAGGAUAACUGAAGAACUGAGUGGAAGGAAACCUGCAGAAAAGUGAAAGUCACCGUUGACACACUUUGGUUAUUCAAGGAGCCAAAGUAACUAAAGAACUAAACUAAAGCUUGGUAGAUGAUGACACGCACGGUGCAAUAACUCUAAUAUACACACGUUUUGUAUUUUUUUUUUAUACUAUUGUACUGUUGAGCUGACCUGUUUCUUCUCAUGCAACACCUUUCCUUGUACCCUUUGUAAACUUGCACAUGACAAAUAAAACUUGAAACUUGAAUAUAUAUAUA
Molecule: long non-coding RNA, 2554 nt
Organism: Pleuronectes platessa (European plaice)
Lineage: Eukaryota; Metazoa; Chordata; Actinopteri; Pleuronectiformes; Pleuronectidae
Exons: 2
Source: RefSeq, a predicted model, not a curated record